This 253-nucleotide ribosomal RNA is filed under the name uncultured bacterium. Its description in RNAcentral is "partial 16S ribosomal RNA". It matches the Rfam family "Bacterial small subunit ribosomal RNA", at positions 524 to 776 of the family's 1533-position model. The record is from RNAcentral.
UACGUAGGGUGCAAGCGUUGUCCGGAAUUAUUGGGCGUAAAGGGCUCGUAGGCGGUUUGUCGCGUCGGGAGUGAAAACUCAGGGCUUAACCCUGAGCCUGCUUCCGAUACGGGCAGACUAGAGGUAUGCAGGGGAGAAUGGAAUUCCUGGUGUAGCGGUGAAAUGCGCAGAUAUCAGGAGGAACACCGGUGGCGAAGGCGGCACUCUGGGCCGGUACUGACGCUGAGGAGCGAAAGCGUGGGGAGCGAACAGG